This 74-nucleotide transfer RNA is filed under the name Streptomyces spectabilis. RNAcentral describes it as "tRNA-Thr". It matches the Rfam family "tRNA". Rfam says of the family: Transfer RNA (tRNA) molecules are approximately 80 nucleotides in length. The record is from RNAcentral. Lineage: Bacteria; Bacillati; Actinomycetota; Actinomycetes; Kitasatosporales; Streptomycetaceae.
GCCUCUGUAGCUCAAAUGGCUAGAGCGCCCGUUUCGUAAUCGGGAGGCUGCGGGUUCGAUUCCUGCUAGGGGCU